UCCUAAACAGAGAAGAUUUUCGAGAUUUUUCAAGAGUGUGUUUUGAAGAAUUCGGAGACAAAGUUAAGAUGUGGACUACUAUAAACGAGCCUUAUGUCAUAACUGUUGCGGGCUACGACACUGGCAACAAAGCGGUUGGACGAUGCU
This 147-nucleotide small RNA is filed under the name Arabidopsis thaliana (thale cress). RNAcentral's name for it is "ATSL126760". Lineage: Eukaryota; Viridiplantae; Streptophyta; Magnoliopsida; Brassicales; Brassicaceae. The record is from RNAcentral.